Pocillopora verrucosa is the source of this 216-nucleotide non-coding RNA. NCBI's taxonomy places the organism in Eukaryota, Metazoa, Cnidaria, Anthozoa, Scleractinia, Pocilloporidae. The record is from RefSeq and is a predicted model, not a curated record.
AGAGUUGUCUGAUAACCCGUUGAAGAUUUUGCCAUCUGAUAUUUUCGUUACAAAUGCUAAAUUGGAGUGGCUGUACCUGUAUGAAAUGCAAUUGCACCACCUACCUCCAGGAAUCUUUAACAAGAACACACAGCUAAUCAAAUUACGCCUGAAUGACAACGACAUGAAAGGAUUGGAUGGAAGUGCCUUCAAAAACUUGACAAGGCUAGAGGAACU